RNAcentral lists this ribosomal RNA (433 nucleotides) under uncultured bacterium. Its description in RNAcentral is "partial 16S ribosomal RNA". It matches the Rfam family "Bacterial small subunit ribosomal RNA", at positions 29 to 507 of the family's 1533-position model. The record is from RNAcentral.
AACGAACGCUGGCGGCAUGCCUAACACAUGCAAGUCGAACGAGACCUUCGGGUCUAGUGGCGCACGGGUGCGUAACGCGUGGGAACCUGCCCUUAGGUUCGGAAUACCUCCCCGACAGGGGUGCUAAUACCGGAUAAUGUCUUCUGACCAAAGAUUUAUCGCCUUUGGAUGGGCCCGCGUUGGAUUAGCUUGUUGGUAGGGUAAAAGCCUACCACGGCGACGAUCCAUAGCUGGUCUGAGAGGAUGGUCAGCCACACUGGGACUGGGACGCGGCCCAGACUCCUACGGGAGGCAGCAGUGGGGAAUAUUGGAAAAUGGGCGAAAGGCUGAACCAGCAAGGCCGCGAGAGUGAUGAAGGCCUUAAGGUUGUAAAGCUCUUUUAACCGGGAUGAUAAUGACGGUACCGGGAGAAUAAGCUCCGGCUAACUCCGUG